RNAcentral lists this ribosomal RNA (1037 nucleotides) under uncultured crenarchaeote. Its description in RNAcentral is "bacterial SSU rRNA". It matches the Rfam family "Archaeal small subunit ribosomal RNA", at positions 315 to 1362 of the family's 1478-position model. Lineage: Archaea; Thermoproteati; Thermoproteota. The record is from RNAcentral.
CGCGGGAUUGACGGGGUGCAGCAGUCGCGAAAACUCCGCAAUACACGAAAGUGUGACGGGGCUAUCCCGAGUGCCGUCCGCUGAGGAUGGCUUUUCCCUAGUGUAUAAAGCUGGGGGAAUAAGGAGAGGGCAAGACUGGUGUCAGCCGCCGCGGUAAUACCAGCUCUCCGAGUGGUGGGGACGCUUAUUGGGCCUAAAGCAUUCGUAGCCUGUUGGGCAAGUCCUCCGUUAAAUCCAACGAUUCAAUCGUUGGGCUGCGGGGGAUACUGUCCGGCUAGGGGGCGGGAGAGGCCGACGGUAUUCUCGGGGUAGGGGUGAAAUCCUAUAAUCCCGGGAGGACCACCAGUGGCGAAGGCUGUCGGCUAGAACGCGCCCGACGGUGAGGGAUGAAAGCUGGGGGAGCGAACCGGAUUAGAUACCCGGGUAGUCCCAGCUGUAAACGAUGCAGGCUAGGUGUUGACGCGGCUACGUGCCGCUUCAGUGCCGCAGGGAAGCCGUUAAGCCUGCCGCCUGGGAAGUACGGCCGCAAGGCUGAAACUUAAAGGAAUUGGCGGGGGAGCACCACAAGGGGUGAAGCUUGCGGUUUAAUUGGAGUCAACGCCGGAAAUCUCACCGGGGGCGACAGCAGAAUGAAGGUCAGAUUGAAGGUCUUACCAGACAAGCUGAGAGGAGGUGCAUGGCCGUCGCCAGUUCGUGCCGUGAGGUGUCCUGUUAAGUCAGGCAACGAUCGAGACCCGCGUCCCCUGUUGCUCGGCCUUCGGGCAUAGGACACUGGGGAGACUGCCGCCGAGAAGGCGGAGGAAGGAGCGGGCCACGGCAGGUCAGUAUGCCCCGAAUCCCCCGGGCCACACGCGAGCUGCAAUGGCAGGUACAGAGGGUGCCAACCCCGAAAGGGGAAGGAAAUCCCGAAAGCCUGCCGUAGUUGGGAUUGAGGGUUGAAACUCACCCUCGUGAACAUGGAAUCCCUAGUAACCGCGUGUCACUAUCGCGCGGUGAAUACGUCCCUGCUCCUUGCACGAAUUCGCCGAAUCACUAGU